Molecule: long non-coding RNA, 1388 nt
Filed under: Equus asinus (donkey)
Lineage: Eukaryota; Metazoa; Chordata; Mammalia; Perissodactyla; Equidae
Description: lncRNA (ENSEASG00005025209.1)
Source: RNAcentral
CUGCAGGGAAUGUGGUUACCAGGAGCCCAAGGUGCCGUGCUCUGAAAUCCAUCACCUCAUUUGUCUCAUGGUUGUACUUCUCAUAGACUAAUCCCCCACAGUGACAAUGUUUGAGUGUGGCAGUGAUACGAGGAAAGGUGAAUGCCUGGGAGACAGAAGACUUCGCUGACGAUCACCUUUGGCUUGAAGACUCCCAAACUGCCUUUCCCAAUCUUCCUAUUCCCAUCCUCUCUCUUUCACUCAAAGUCAGACUUGCUUUCAGCUCAGGUGGGUCUCCUAGCCUCACCCAGAUCCUGCCCCAUAUUCCCUCACACAGGUAUUCCUCCUAACGCAAUCCUUUUCCAUUUAAUCACAUCUGGUCUGCUUCUCCAAGGAUCCAUCUUGGAGUCUCCUUAUCAGGGAAUCCAAACGAACCCGGUAUCCUUUUAUUUAAGCUUUUCCAUCCAAGAAGGCAUGCCUGUUUUUUCAAAGUAGGAGCUGUUUUUCAUCAAAUGAGAAGUUAAGGCUCCACCAACUCAGGAAGAGGGGAAAAAAAUGCCUGUAUCUUUCAAACGGCUCUUUUUUCUCCCUUCUAGGGCCGUGACUGUUUUAGAUAUUAUUAGGGUCCAGUUUCAGUGAAAGCAUAAGCCACCCAAUGUAUUGUUAUAUCUUCACAGUCAGAAGGGAUGUCUGCCUGUGUAUAAUGGAUGUAUGUAACUCUUUUUGGAUCCUCUUCAGGACAAAAAGGGAAAAAGAUAGAUCCAAUUCACGGACAUCCCAGUUCAUGUGGCAGCAGGUGGGAUUCUUACUGGCUGAGAGUGGUUCUUAAAACAACGCCCAGUGAUUAAAACCCACAGCUGAGGUGCAGAAGGCCCCCAGGAAUUGAACUCACAACUCAUUCAGUGCCGAUAGUAGCCCCCCAGUACAUAGUUGUAUAUUCUUCGCUGUGGAUCCUUCCAGUUGUGGCACGUGGGACGGCGCCUCAGCGUGGCCCGAUGAGCAGUGCCAUGUCCACGCCCAGGAUUCGAACCAAAGAAACACUGGGCCGCCUGCAGCGGAGCUCGCAAACUUAACCACUCGGCCACGGGGCCAGCCCCUCAGGUGCAGGUUUUUAAAAACCAUUCUAACGUGGCAAUGGAUUUAAAGUGCCUUUGUUAGAACAGUGGAUCUCAUUAAACAUCCAGGAGAAAAAAGUGCAAUUCAUCAAACAAAACUAUGGUUAAUGAAGUCAAUAAAAAGAUGUAACGUUAUACAUAAAUGUGCUGGAAACGUCUUUCAUUUUAAAACCACACCUUGAAUAAGUUAAUAGUUAAAUAGAUAGAUAAAUUUCUAACUUUUUGCUAACAUUGUAGCUACAAUUUAACUCUUUGAAGACUUGUUUAUAACUUAAAAAUAGAAAUUGACUACUG